Molecule: non-coding RNA, 336 nt
Organism: Pelobates cultripes (western spadefoot toad)
Lineage: Eukaryota; Metazoa; Chordata; Amphibia; Anura; Pelobatidae
Source: the annotation of a GenBank genome assembly
CUGCACUGUAGAGCAACUCACUCCACUUUAUCCCAGAUAAGCGGAUGAGCUGAGCAAGCGACAAGAUGGCCACGCACAAGGUCAGGCUGCAUGGGGCCAAAAUUACCGUGCUCGACAAGCUUACCUCCUACCUUUUUGGCGAAACUGGAGGCAAUAUUUGAAGCCUUUUUGGUGAAACUAAAACUGAGACUACAGGCAACAUGAGGCACCUGAUUAUCAGUCCAUAAGAGAUUGGGGGCAAAGCCAGUGGGCCGCUUGACAGAGCUAGACUCCCUGCCCAUAGAGAGGAGUUUGAGGAUAAGGAGAUUCCCCUGAGGUGCAUCGACUACAAACUAC